This 253-nucleotide ribosomal RNA is filed under the name uncultured bacterium. RNAcentral's name for it is "partial 16S ribosomal RNA". It matches the Rfam family "Bacterial small subunit ribosomal RNA", at positions 524 to 776 of the family's 1533-position model. The record is from RNAcentral.
UACGAAGGGGGCUAGCGUUGUUCGGAAUUACUGGGCGUAAAGCGCACGUAGGCGGACUAUUAAGUCAGGGGUGAAAUCCCGGGGCUCAACCCCGGAACUGCCUUUGAUACUGGUAGUCUCGGGUCCGGAAGAGGUGAGUGGAAUUCCGAGUGUAGAGGUGAAAUUCGUAGAUAUUCGGAGGAACACCAGUGGCGAAGGCGGCUCACUGGUCCGGUACUGACGCUGAGGUGCGAAAGCGUGGGGAGCAAACAGG